RNAcentral lists this long non-coding RNA (558 nucleotides) under Homo sapiens (human). RNAcentral describes it as "novel transcript". The record is from RNAcentral. Lineage: Eukaryota; Metazoa; Chordata; Mammalia; Primates; Hominidae.
CCUACCUUUUGUUAUAGGAGUGUUGGCCAUGACCCUUAUGACGGAUGGGGAAAGACAUCACAUCCUUCCUCUCCUACUUGCAGAAAUAUGAAUACUCAAGGUUAAUGUCAAGGACGUUUGUUCCACUUCGCAUCUGAAUUGACAAGGAAUGGACUCUUCAGCUCUGACAGCAAAUCUCUCUUCAGAAGUCUGGAAAAGCAGAAAGAGAAGAAUGAAGAAAUGUCCACAAAACUGCUCCUAUCCUUUACACCACAUAGGACCAAACUCUUACCUUUCAUCAGUUUUCAGUUUGUACAUUAAUGUAUCCUGGUGAAGUUCCUCAACCACUUCUGCAACAUUCAAUUUUAAUUUAUAUUUGCCCACAUCAUUUCAUUUGUGAUUUGGACACAUGCAGGCUACUGAAUAUAAUGGAUACAAAUCUCUCACUGAUUCCCUUGAGCUAUUUCAUAGUUCUGCUUUCACAGGCAGGAGACAGUGAAGAAAUAAUGAUUCAGUUAUUUCUUAAAGAUUUCACAAUUCUACAUUCAAUAAAGAAUAUGUGAAUUCCUGGAAGUUAUG